RNAcentral lists this ribosomal RNA (591 nucleotides) under Psychrobacter celer. RNAcentral's name for it is "bacterial SSU rRNA". It matches the Rfam family "Bacterial small subunit ribosomal RNA", at positions 848 to 1439 of the family's 1533-position model. Lineage: Bacteria; Pseudomonadati; Pseudomonadota; Gammaproteobacteria; Moraxellales; Moraxellaceae. The record is from RNAcentral.
CAGCUAACGCNAUAAGUAGACCGCCUGGGGAGUACGGCCGCAAGGUUAAAACUCAAAUGAAUUGACGGGGGCCCGCACNAGCGGUNGAGCAUGUGGUUUANUUCGAUGCAACGCGAAGAACCUUACCUGGUCUUGACAUACACAGAAUCUUGUAGAGAUACNAGAGUGCCUUCGGGAAUUGUGAUACAGGUGCUGCAUGGCUGUCGUCAGCUCGUGUCGUGAGAUGUUGGGUUAAGUCCCGCAACGAGCGCAACCCUUGUCCUUAGUUACCAGCGGGUUAAGCCGGGAACUCUAAGGAUACUGCCAGUGACAAACUGGAGGAAGGCGGGGACGACGUCAAGUCAUCAUGGCCCUUACGACCAGGGCUACACACNUGCUACAAUGGUAGGUACAGAGGGCAGCUACACAGCGAUGUGAUGCGAAUCUCAAAAAGCCUAUCGUAGUCCAGAUUGGAGUCUGCAACUCGACUCCAUGAAGUAGGAAUCGCUAGUAAUCGCGGAUCAGAAUGCCGCGGUGAAUACGUUCCCGGGCCUUGUACACACCGCCCGUCACACCAUGGGAGUUGAUUGCACCAGAAGUGGUUAGCCGAAC